AUAUCAAUAAGCGGAGGAAAAGAAACUAACAAGGAUUCCCCUAGUAACUGCGAGUGAAGCGGGAAAAGCUCAAAUUUAAAAUCUGGCGGUCUUUGGCCGUCCGAGUUGUAGUCUGGAGAAGCGUCUUCCGCGCUGGACCGUGUAUAAGUCUCUUGGAACAGAGCGUCAUAGAGGGUGAGAAUCCCGUCUUUGACACGGACUACCAGUGCUUUGUGAUGCGCUCUCAAAGAGUCGAGUUGUUUGGGAAUGCAGCUCAAAAUGGGUGGUGAAUUCCAUCUAAAGCUAAAUAUUGGCGAGAGACCGAUAGCGAACAAGUACCGUGAGGGAAAGAUGAAAAGCACUUUGGAAAGAGAGUUAAACAGUACGUGAAAUUGCUGAAAGGGAAACGCUUGAAGUCAGUCGCGUUGUCCGGGACUCAGCCUUGCUUCGGCUUGGUGCACUUUCCGGAUGACGGGCCAGCAUCGAUUUUGACCGCCGGAAAAGGGCUGGAGGAAUGUGGCACCUUCGGGUGUGUUAUAGCCUCCAGUCGCAUACGGCGGUUGGGAUCGAGGAACGCAGCACGCCUUAUGGCGGGGGGUUUACCCUACCUUCGUGCUUAGGAUGCUGGCAUAAUGGCUUUAAACGACCCGUCUUGAAACACGGACCAAGGAGUCUAACAUGCCUGCGAGUGUUUGGGUGGAAAACCCGAGCGCGUAAUGAAAGUGAAAGUUGAGACCUCUGUCGUGGAGGGCAUCGACGCCCGGACCUGACGUUCUCUGACGGAUCCGCGGUAGAGCAUGUAUGUUGGGACCCGAAAGAUGGUGAACUAUGCCUGAAUAGGGUGAAGCCAGAGGAAACUCUGGUGGAGGCUCGUAGCGAUUCUGACGUGCAAAUCGAUCGUCAAAUUUGGGUAUAGGGGCGAAAGACUAAUCGAACCAUCUAGUAGCUGGUUCCUGC
This 936-nucleotide ribosomal RNA is filed under the name Cubamyces lactineus. Its description in RNAcentral is "eukaryotic LSU rRNA". It matches the Rfam family "Eukaryotic large subunit ribosomal RNA", at positions 40 to 961 of the family's 3401-position model. The record is from RNAcentral. Lineage: Eukaryota; Fungi; Basidiomycota; Agaricomycetes; Polyporales; Polyporaceae.